Molecule: ribosomal RNA, 439 nt
Filed under: uncultured bacterium
Lineage: Bacteria
Description: partial 16S ribosomal RNA
Rfam family: Bacterial small subunit ribosomal RNA
Source: RNAcentral
CUACGGGGUGCUGCAGUGAGGAAUAUUGCACAAUGGGGGGAACCCUGAUGCAGCAACGCCGCGUGGAGGAUGACGCAUUUCGGUGUGUAAACUCCUUUUAUAUGUCAAGAAAAUGACGGUAGCAUAUGAAUAAGCACCGGCUAACUCCGUGCCAGCAGCCGCGGUAAUACGGAGGGUGCAAGCAUUACUCGGAAUCACUGGGCGUAAAGGACGCGUAGGCGGGUUGGAAAGUCAGGUGUGAAAUCCUACAGCUUAACUGUAGAACUGCACUUGAAACUUCUAAUCCAGAGUAUGGGAGGGGGAGAUGGAAUUAGUGGUGUAGGGGUAAAAUCCGUAGAUAUCACUAGGAAUACCUAAAGCGAAGGCGAUCUCCUGGAACAUUACUGACGCUAAGGCGUGAAAGCGUGGGGAGCAAACAGGAUUAGAUACCCCCGUAGUC